UUUGGUGAUUUGGGAAGAUCUGUUAAGAGUUCGCAGAAUCUGGUGCUAUAAGAAAUCGAAGAAGAAAGAAGAGCAUAUGAAGAUGUUAUAAAGAAAAAGUUGAUGAUUAAGCUCAAAAUUUUACGAAGUUAGGGUUCGAGAAGAAAUUGAGGAUUUUCUCGAUUUGGAGUUUGUUGUUGGAGUUUGAUUAAACCUAACAUUCAAUCUACAGGGAAUCACCAAAAUUUAGGAUUUUCUCGAUUUGGAGUCCGCGGUUGGAGAUGGAAUUGAUGAUUGUCCGCCGAUUGAAUCUAGAAGAAUUGGAAGCAUGGGUUACGAUUGGUAAAGCUUGGGUUAUCCUCAGAUUGAGAUAUCCCUACAAGGAGCUGAAUCUCUCCAUUUCUUCCAAAUUGAUCUUCUGGACUAUGAUUCUGUAUUUUCAUCCAUUAAUGGCAUUGUUGGUGUUUUCCAUUUAGCUUUUCCUUGUAUUGUUGAUACAGUUGAUGAUCCUCAGGUUCUACUUUGUUGCAUCAUGUUGCGCAACAACACUCUCCUUACUCUAUUUAUCCAUGAGAUAUAUUGGCUGCCUCAAGCUAAGAGUAGGGUGCCGUUAGUAUUUUGUUUUCGUCCAUUGAUAUUGUGCAACGUGUCAGUCAUCCAUUGAAGAAACCUUAGGGUUAAUCAUUUGUUGUUAAGCUGUAAGAGAGUAUUAUCUUCUUUUUUAUGCUUUAAUGAAAUAGAAUUAGUUUGCUACGCUUCCUAAAGCCAGAUAUUGGUCUGAUUCAUUGAUUCAGGAGGUGUUUACACCAAUCCUUCCAUUUCUGUUUGAUAAUUUGUUGUAGUAAUACAACAACUUCUACCUCUAAAAAUGUUGUUUAAAAUCCUCAGAUUCCUGUAAUUGCAGCUUAUUUGGUUGAUUUUUGUUUUCUCAGAGGCAAUUGUUGGCUCCUGCAGUAAAGGAAACGAUGAAUGUACUUAAAGCAGCAAAGGAAUGUGGAGUAAAACGAGCUGUGCUAACUUGAUCGAUUUCGGUUAUAAGCCGAGUCCUAAUUGUCCGGCUGAUGUACCUAAAAGGGAGGAUUGCUGGGAUGAUCUUGAUUAUUGGAAGAAAGAUGGAGUGAGUUUUAAUGUUCACCAUGGAGUGUUAUGGAACGUAUCUUACUUGUUUGUAACUAGUCCAUUCAACUUAAAUGUCCGAUUUAACAUGCCUUUUAGUUAGGAAAAGGAAAGCAUCACUGAUAUUUGCAUCUAGAAACCAGUCUAGUCUUAAUUGAUGUUCAGAUGCUAAUUUGCAACCCCAGAGGUCUAAAGCUGAUUAGAUUGAUCCUUUAUAUGCUGUUCAGAUUAGUACUGGCCUAGGAAAUGGUAGGUUCGGCCAUUCCACCGCCAGAAACUAUGUGGAUUUCCAUUUCACUUUAUGAGCCGGAUGUGUCUGAUUUAGCACUCAUUGAGCUAGAUAAACAAAGUACCACUGAUAAAUCUAAAACUGCUUACUUGAGGUUUUAAAGUCUAUUUCCCGUCCCUAAGGUUUUAAAGUCUAUUUGAUGAAUCACAUUCAUAUGUAAAGUUCUUGGUGUUUUUGAUAUGUUACUGGUGUUGGUGUAUUCGGUGUUUAUGUUAUGGUUCAUUGACAGUUAUGUUACCCAGCUUCUAAGAUAAUGGCAGAAAAAGCCGCAUGGGACAGUUAUGUUACCCAGCUUCUAAGAUAAUGGCAGAAAAAGACGCAUGGGAUUGUGCUAACGAAACGGGGCUAUGGCAGUGAUCAACCCCGGAACUGUAAGGCAAUUGUUGGCUCCUGCAGUAAAGGAAACGAUGAAUGUACUUAAAGCAGCAAAGGAAUGUGGAGUAAAACGAGCUGUGCUAACUUGAUCGAUUUCGGUUAUAAGCCGAGUCCUAAUUGUCCGGCUGAUGUACCUAAAAGGGAGGAUUGCUGGGAUGAUCUUGAUUAUUGGAAGAAAGAUGGAGUGAGUUUUAAUGUUCACCAUGGAGUGUUAUGGAACGUAUCUUACUUGUUUGUAACUAGUCCAUUCAACUUAAAUGUCCGAUUUAACAUGCCUUUUAGUUAGGAAAAGGAAAGCAUCACUGAUAUUUGCAUCUAGAAACCAGUCUAGUCUUAAUUGAUGUUCAGAUGCUAAUUUGCAACCCCAGAGGUCUAAAGCUGAUUAGAUUGAUCCUUUAUAUGCUGUUCAGAUUAGUACUGGCCUAGGAAAUGGUAGGUUCGGCCAUUCCACCGCCAGAAACUAUGUGGAUUUCCAUUUCACUUUAUGAGCCGGAUGUGUCUGAUUUAGCACUCAUUGAGCUAGAUAAACAAAGUACCACUGAUAAAUCUAAAACUGCUUACUUGAGGUUUUAAAGCCGCAUGGGACAGUUAUGUUACCCAGCUUCUAAGAUAAUGGCAGAAAAAGACGCAUGGGAUUGUGCUAACGAAACGGGGCUAUGGCAGUGAUCAACCCCGGAACUGUAAGGCAAUUGUUGGCUCCUGCAGUAAAGGAAACGAUGAAUGUACUUAAAGCAGCAAAGGAAUGUGGAGUAAAACGAGCUGUGCUAACUUGAUCGAUUUCGGUUAUAAGCCGAGUCCUAAUUGUCCGGCUGAUGUACCUAAAAG
This is a long non-coding RNA of Papaver somniferum (opium poppy), 2584 nucleotides long. RefSeq lists it as uncharacterized. The record is from RefSeq and is a predicted model, not a curated record. The transcript has 3 exons. NCBI's taxonomy places the organism in Eukaryota, Viridiplantae, Streptophyta, Magnoliopsida, Ranunculales, Papaveraceae.